This is a long non-coding RNA of Cyprinus carpio carpio, 481 nucleotides long. The record is from Ensembl. Lineage: Eukaryota; Metazoa; Chordata; Actinopteri; Cypriniformes; Cyprinidae.
GGCUAACCUCAUCAUCUAUUUUUAGCCAGUGUGAAGAAAGAAAACAUCAGCGUUUGGAACGACAUUAGGAGCAUCUUCUCUGAUCUGAGGUUUCCGAUUCAUCAUUUUUAACAGUAAAUUUUCCCCUGCUGCAGUGCAUGCUGGUAAUGAAGAGGGCUCGAUGGCUUCCACAUGCUCAAGCCAAUUACGGUCCUGCUGUCCAAGAACUGUUUGCCUGGCAAUAGCAGAUGUGUCUUCUCUGGUUGUUAAUGGCUUUUAUUUGCUUUGUUAUGUAGCAGAACACUUUCUUGAGAAGGUGCCAAAGGAUGAUAAAUCAUUUAGGAUACAUAAAACCGUGGCGUCAUCUCUGUUGUAAGAAGGUACAUUUAAAUCAUGCUUUUUAACUCUCCUCCUCACAAAACGUCCAUCCAUUUUGCUUUUUAGUGACCACAGCUCCCAGCUUCUCUCUACAUCACAACGUAAUUCCCUUUCUCAUGACGGC